This is a long non-coding RNA of Ictalurus punctatus (channel catfish), 825 nucleotides long. RefSeq lists it as uncharacterized. NCBI's taxonomy places the organism in Eukaryota, Metazoa, Chordata, Actinopteri, Siluriformes, Ictaluridae. The record is from RefSeq and is a predicted model, not a curated record. The transcript has 3 exons.
UACACUAAACACUACACACUAUACACUACACACUAAACACUGUACACUACAUGCUAUACACUACACACUAAACACUGUACACUACAUGCUUUACACUACAGCCUGCACACUACAUGCUUUACACUGCACACUUUAAACCGCAUGCUUUCAGACAUGGUAAUCGCACUCGGCUCCGCACCAAAACAAUCGGGCCGAGAUCAACUCGAACUCUGGACCGAUUCGCUUGGGGUGAGAACGCACUCGACUCCACAAAGCAACCUGUAUAGCAAUGCUCAUGGGAACUGCAUUACGUGUAUUAGCAAAACGUGUUUGUUUUGCUGACAUGAAUCGCGGUUUAACUCAGACCAAAGAUGAGAUGAGCUAACUGAAACAUGCUAGCAUCGCUCUGAUUGGCGAGGAGAAAGAACAUUGGUCCUUGUGACAUCAUCAGGAGUCAAACUCACAGCCUCAUGGCACAUGACUUUCAGGAUGAAGUUUGAACGCUGACACUGAAAUUCAGAGAUGAGUCCUAACACACUGAACUGUCAUGGUGAAACAGUGAUGUGUUUGGAGGAGCUCUGCUCCCCCUGCUGGUCUUUUCUCUCCUUUUCUCUUUUAGCUAAAAUGUUAUUAAAUUUUAUCAAAUAAAAAAUUUCCCCCAGUCCCUGUGCACUUCCAGUUGAUGAACAGAGCCUCCUCUGUCUGUCUGCACCUUCACAAAUGAAGGCUAUAAGAUGUUACAUGAUUAAUCACACUAAUCACACCAUUCACACUAAUCACACCAUUCACACUAAUCACAGUAAUCACACCAUUCACACUAAUCACACCAUUCACACUAAUCACACC